Gasterosteus aculeatus aculeatus (three-spined stickleback) is the source of this 3696-nucleotide long non-coding RNA. The record is from Ensembl. NCBI's taxonomy places the organism in Eukaryota, Metazoa, Chordata, Actinopteri, Perciformes, Gasterosteidae.
CCCAUACCUGAGUCACCCCUCCCCCCGCGGUGACCACAGCCCGAGCCGCCCGGCUCAGCGGCCUCGGGCCCGCAGGCGCGCUAGCUUAAGCUAGGCUAAGCUAACAAUAGCCCCGAGGAUUACCCUGUGAUGAAACGGUGGUUUGGAGAGUAAUUAGGGUAUUUCUAGCGUAUUUACCCCCCCCCCCCCUCCUUUCUUUUUGAUCCACACGGAUUGCUUUUGGAUGGUUUCGACUCGCUGACUCGUGUGCGGUCAGACGCCACGGAUAGCAAAACGUGGGAUUAGCUAACCGGGGUUUGUGUCGUCGCUGGAUUGUUAGCGGUGGUGUGAUUUCUCUUUAAAUGACUUGUGAGCUUCUAUCGCACACACACACACACACACACAAAUAGAAUAACUGAUUCAUACACGGGGCUAAAUAAAGCGGCAAACAUCUGGUUCCAUGUCUUGAAGAUCUGUCGUGUGACUGACGUCGUUUUAACUAAAGAGGUUGUUUCACAAUAACCACAAGUGAUAUUAGCAGAGGAAUGUGAGCUCACACCCAAAUAAACACAUUAACACAUAACUUCUGUUCCUGUAUAAUUGGAGCCAAAUAAUAAAUAAAUGCACAUGUUAAAGUUGGGGUGGCGACUGGUGGCAGACGAGAGGAGAUGUAACAGAAAACACCUGAAAGGUAUAUUUGCUGCUUUCAAUCGGCUUGUCUUUUCUAAAUAACAAUACAGAUAUUAAAUAACUGGUAAUCUGCAUCAAACCUUAACAGCAAAAUAAUGAAGCUUGGAGUCAAUAGCAAAAAAGUGCUUUUGUACUAAUGUUUUGUGCUCUAAACGGUUUAAUCAGGUGGUUCUGUGUUCCAGUACAGGACGCAUUUACAGUGCAGCUGCAGAGAAAAAUAAAUACUAAAUAUUGUUUUCUACGCUUCAUUUUUUCCAAUUUACUUGUACAAUUGUAUACUUUUUGAAUUAUAACAACAUCCUUCAGUGCUAAAAAGAACAUCUGUAUCAAUACAGUCAGGGGUGUUUUUUUAUUUUAUUUUUUUGUAUAGCUUCCUAGGAAUUUCUGGAUGUAGGCCUCUAUGCAUAGAUGUAUUUAAAAAAUCAACACUAUUCCCUAUUGUUCAACAAGAUAUAACAUGUACAAGAUAGUAACAUUUGAACAGCUGGCAAAGACAAAUAAGUCAAUGAUUUUAUCAGCAUUCAGGCUUUGACUGGUGGGACAGAAACUUAACCCAACUCAAAGGAACACCUUUAAUGGUAUCUCACUGGUGUUUAUCAGGGGAUGGAGUUCCCACUGUAGUCACAUGAUACCAGAGCUCCUAUCGCUCUCAGCAUGUAGUUUCUCCAGCGACGUGUUGACCCUCAGCGGCCUUUCUGAGGUAAACUGUUGAAUAACCUGACAUACUUUAAGAGGGCUUUUAUUGUGAAAGGUGAGGACGGGAGCAGUGGCUCCUUUGUUGAAAUAAGAGAAAUAAAGUUGAUAAUCGAGCGCGUGUGUUUGAGGUAUUUGGAGGGUGAAAAAGCCCUUUAAUAUGUGACAAUGGAGUAAGUAAUGAACCCAAGCGAUCACAAUGAUGUCGGCCCAUUUCACAGUAUGACCACAAACCAUCAACCUGAUGAGUUCAGAGGAGAACAAAAACAUCUGUUUGGAAGGAUGGUAACACACGUUAACACACACACACACACACACACACACACACACACACUCAUGGCAGACGUGUGGUCAUGAUGGAAGUCGGUUUGAGGGAUCCAUUCUGUCCGACCAUCCUUCCUCAUCCUCAGCUUUGACUCAGAUCCACCUUGUGUGUGUGUUUGUGCGUGUGCGUGUGCCUGUGUGAGUUUUUGCAUGACAUUUUUAGAAAGUGAGGACAUUUGGUCGCCUCCUCGGCCCUUCAAAGAGCCGCGUGAGGGCGGGCCCUCGGUUACGGGGUCACGGUUUGGUCUGAGGGUUGAAGGGCCGAAGGUAAUGUAGUAUUUUGUCCGCGAGUGUCGCCGCAACUUCAGCGCGAGCGCGUUUUCUCCGUGUGCGGCAGGUCAGAAGAUUCCUUUCUACUUUUUUUCGCUUUGAAGUUUCCAUCGAAACGGUCCCACUUCUCCGCUGCGCACGCACACAAACACAGAUGCAAACACGCGCAGAUGUUGCGAAGGCACUCACUCACCAGGCCGAUCAAAAGACGCGCACACACGCGCGGCAGAUGGCGCACACGCAGGCACACGACGCGAUGUGUGCGUCUGAUAGACAGGGCCCGUGAGCGGGCGCGGAGGAGGAGCUCCGGGUUGUGGGUCGGGUGUUUUGUCGCUGCAGGAUCCUGCAGACACACAAACAUCCCGCGGCAGUAAUUACCCGUCUCCGCCGACGCAGGCGACUGACGGGGGGCCCCUCUCAGCCAAUCACGGGCCGGGGAAAGGGCCCGAUGGGUGUUUCUUUUGGUGAUCACGACAAGGGUCGUCGACCUCACGUUUGAGGCGUUUCAUUUCAAAAUAAAACAGAUCAAAGCAGAGGAUGCAGUGGUUUCCUCCGGCUGUUUUCGUCAUGAUGAAAACAUCGGUGUGACGCUGCAGAAAUCGGAGGAUCGCGAUCGUUUACUGUUACUUAUGUGAGUAUUAAAAAAACGAAUGCUCUGCAGUUUGUAGAUGCCGCUGUGCAAUCCAGGAAGAAUAAAGACAGCAGAAGCCCACGAGGCGGAUGAGGCAGAUGAGGCGGAUGAGCUAAAAUAGAAUAGACUGCAUUUUGUGCCCCGAGUAAAAUGAGAAGUCAACGUUAAAUUAACCGUACUUGACGCAACGUCACAAUUAUUUUAACACAAAGCACAUUUUUUUCCACAACCUAAACACAAGUGAGUUCUUUUUUUUUCUUGAAGGCGUGGCGUGUAAACGCCGGGAAGUAACUGUUGCACCCAGGUACCUAAAGCUCGACCCGCAUCAGAGCGGCACCGAGCGGCGGGCCAGAGAACGAGGGAAGCGGCGAGCUCGACGCCGGAGAGAGUGACCCGCCGACGCCUUUGUUUACCGACGUCAACAGGAAGCGCACGCGGCCCGCAAAGGAAAGGAUUCGUCCCUUUGAAUGUCAAGGCUGUGAGAAAAAGUGGGCUUCAAGCUGCACUGUGUGUGUGUGUGUGUGUGUGUGUGUGUGUGUGUGUGUGUGUGUGUGUCACCGUGUUGUUGCCAUGAGGCACCUGCUGCCUUUCUUUUCAAACCACCAGUAAGGGUCAGAAAGAAGAAAUGAAUACACGGAUGUAAUGUCAUGUGACUUUACGGGUUUAGUGAAAUCCCCCAACGUGUGGGUCUCAGGCCCCCCCCCCGAGAGGGGGUCUGCGAACGGAUGAGCCGGGGGUUCACCUCCAUCCGUUGCACAGGUACAGCUAGAGUAAUGUGUUUCCAUGGGAGGCUGCGUGGCGUAGGAGGCGGAGCCUGGGAGGAGGGAAGCGCCGGGUCGCCGGAGUGAGAAGCAAUGCAACCGUUUCUAAUGUUUCAUGAGCUUUGAUGUGCACACGUGUGCCCAGCCGUGAUCAUACAAAACAGACACACACGCAGAGGAGUUAUGGAUGUAUACACAUGAGCAUGUGUGUGUGUGUGUGUGUGUGUGUGUGUGUGUGUGUGUGUGUGUGUGUGUGUGCACGCUCUGGAAAUAGCUCUGAACAGGAAGUCUAAAUCCAGCCUGGACCAGGAAGAAAAGUGUGUGAGCGGGCCCCCCCAUUCCUGAAAU